CCCUAUUAUUUUAAUGAUUGAUUAAAUCCUAGAUAGUAAAAGUUAUUUUAAGAAAUUUAAAGAUUUUGGCGGUGUUUUAUUUCUUUAUAGAGGAAUAUGUUUUUUAAUCGAUGAUCCCCGACUAUCUAACUUAAAUUAAUUUUAGUAUACCUCCGUCUUCAGAAUUUUUAAAAAAUAAUAUUUCUUUAUAAUUUUUAAUUAAAAAGUCAGGUCAAGGUGCUGAUAUAUUUAAGUAAAAAUGUAUUACUAUAAAAUUAUUUUUGGAUAUAAAAUUUAAAUAUUUUAUUAAAAUUGGAUUUAUGAGUAAAUUUUUAUAUUUUAUUUUAUUGAUAUAAGAUUUAAAAUAUGCACACAUCGCCC
RNAcentral lists this ribosomal RNA (360 nucleotides) under Musapsocus sp. KY-2003. RNAcentral describes it as "partial 12S ribosomal RNA". The record is from RNAcentral. Lineage: Eukaryota; Metazoa; Arthropoda; Insecta; Psocodea; Musapsocidae.